RNAcentral lists this long non-coding RNA (1116 nucleotides) under Equus caballus (horse). Its description in RNAcentral is "lncRNA (ENSECAG00000048851.1)". The record is from RNAcentral. Lineage: Eukaryota; Metazoa; Chordata; Mammalia; Perissodactyla; Equidae.
CUGGGGUUCAGAGCUUCCACAUAUCUCUUUGGUGGACACGACUCAACCCACAACACCUCCUCAAACCACAUUUUAUAAACCGCUGCUCAGCCAUACAUCUCAGACAAGAAAUAUUUGAAAUUACACUUGUGACGUCAAAUGACAGAAAGAUGGCAGGGGAGUAACAGAAGGCCUACACCCAACCCUAUGUCCACACAGCACUAAGCUCCCCAGAGUCUUGUGGCCCCAAUGGACAUGCUCCACCAAUACCUGCAGCCACCAGGAGUUAGAGGAGUGACUUUAGAGCAGCUGGCGGGGAAUUAGGGAAGGAAUCCACCUGCAGAGGCACUUUUUCCAGGGUCUUUCGGAGAAGCGCUUUUCGUGGAAGCCUACCCAGUCUUCAUCUGGCUGUGAUGCCCCAGACAUUUCUUCUAAGUUUCCGGCCUCUGCGUGGAGCCUCAGCCCCCUGAUCCGAGAGCAUUUCCUUCCUUCCCCUGCUCAGCACUGCAGGCUGGGCUCCCCUGUCAGCUGCAUUCCAGCAGGGUUUGGCCUUGGGAAGGCAAUGGCAGGAAACAGGUGGAAAUAUGAGGGUUAACAUCCGGAGGUCAAAACAUCUCUCAAGAACCUCUUUGCCUUGGCUUCUCAGAGCCACCUUUGGAUUAUACAGUAAUUUCACCCGCCGCGACACCUCACUUUAUUCAUCAUAUCAGUCAUUCACCGAUUGGCUCUUCCUCAGACGGGAUGAGUGGCGACCACUUACCGUAUUCCAAACGAAGCCUGAGGAAAGGUGCCACUUCCAUCCUCACUUCACAGUUGAAGGAACUGAGGCACAGAGAGGCUAAGGGAUCACUCCAGCUACACAACCAAGAUGAAGGGGAGCCAGAAUUUGAACCCAAGUAGUCUGGUUCUAGAGUCCAUGGUCUACAGCACUUUCCUUUUCUCCCUCUGAGUCCCAGAAAUGUCCACAGUCACACUGGACAGAAAAGUGAUCAGACAACAAACUCCAUGCUUUGUUUUGGGUUUGGAAUUUUACUUUAUGUUUUUUCCAAUCAUUAAAAAAAAUGCACAUUCAUCACAAAAAAUUUGGAAAUUCAGGAAAAAAUAAUGAAGAAUAUUAAAUCACCUAGGAGUACUAUU